This 216-nucleotide long non-coding RNA is filed under the name Capsicum annuum. Its description in RNAcentral is "long non-coding RNA (CANN_LNC020297)". Lineage: Eukaryota; Viridiplantae; Streptophyta; Magnoliopsida; Solanales; Solanaceae. The record is from RNAcentral.
ACCAUAUCAUAUGCCUUUCACAAAUCUAUCUUCAUUAAAUACCUUGGGGAAGUUUUCUUUCUAUAGUGUCUCAACAAAUCAUGACAAAUUAGCACAUUUUGAAUUAGAGAUCUCUCUUUGACAAAAGCAGCCUGAGUUUCACUUAGUAAGUCUAAUAGUACCAUAUUUAAUCUUGUACAAAGUAUCUUAGAAGUACACUUGUAAACCACAUUGCAG